Aethalodelphis obliquidens (Pacific white-sided dolphin) is the source of this 805-nucleotide long non-coding RNA. RefSeq lists it as uncharacterized. The record is from RefSeq and is a predicted model, not a curated record. NCBI's taxonomy places the organism in Eukaryota, Metazoa, Chordata, Mammalia, Artiodactyla, Delphinidae. The transcript has 3 exons.
CGCCGCCGCCGCGCUGGGCCCGCUCCAGAGAGCCCUCACCUGGGACCGCUGGCCGCCCCGCCGGAUUCCUCCGGGCGGGGCUGGAAGGACCGCGCCCACCUCCGCCCGGCAGCAUCAAAGUGGGAAACCGAGGCUGGGGGAGGUACAACCUUGCCUCCAGAGCCUAGUACAGGGCCUGGCAGGCAGAGGGUGCUGAAGUUGGCUGAUUGACUGAAUGGACUGAGACCACGGAACUCUGAAAGACGGAACAAUUAGACUUGCAUCAUCUGGUUCUAAAGAUGACGGUUGGAAGUUUCAGAAGCCUGGAGGGGACCAUUCUGCCCUGAAGCAUUUCUCUCCAAAGACACUUUACUGAAAGUGACUGUCACUGAGCCCCUCUGAUGUGCCCCUGCUGUGAUGAAGGGCACUGAGAGAUGGGAUUGGAAAACGCAAUGAACCAGUCUUCAUGCUUGAUCAGUCAGAGAGGAUCUUCAGCCCUGCCCCUCGUCUCCACCUUCCGAACCCAGGAAAAGUCCACUGGUGAGAAUCCAGCUCUGGACGUGCGCUGACCAGAUGGGGUCACAGCCCUGCCACAUCCCAGCAGGGUGACUGUGACUAAACCUCUUAACCUGUCCAGGCUUCAGCUUCUCCAUCUGCACAUUGGGAGACAUAACUCACAGACUUGUCCUGAGGAUUAAAGGAGAUAAUUCAAGCUCUUAGUAUAGUGCCCGGCCCCAAGAAAAAAUACACCAAAAGUUGAGUAUUAUUAUUUUUUUGUUGCUGUUUCUUUUUUUUUUUUUUUGCGGUAUGCGGGCCUCUCACUGUC